This 525-nucleotide long non-coding RNA is filed under the name Mus pahari (shrew mouse). RNAcentral's name for it is "lncRNA (MGP_PahariEiJ_G0012250.1)". Lineage: Eukaryota; Metazoa; Chordata; Mammalia; Rodentia; Muridae. The record is from RNAcentral.
CUGACUGCAGCCCUCAUGCUUGGGAGUCAAACACUUUAACCACUGCACAAGUUUAUGUAACAGGAUUGAAAUAUCAGAAUUAGAGAAAUGAAUGAAAGAUUAGAGGUACGCAAGAGCCAAGUAAUAGUGGAGGUGAGAGGGGGAAGCGGGCAUGGCUGCAUGAGGGGGGGAGUAGGCGUGGCUGCAAAAGGACAGAGAAGGAUUCUUGACUCAAAGCAAAGAGUUUGUAUUUAACAGUGGCAGUGCUGAUAACCUAGCUGUGAAAUUGUGUAACAGCAUUGGUGAAGCUGGGUAAGAAGACUGAAAGAUCUCUCUCUCUCUUUUUUUUAAUGCUGCAUGAGAACAUUCAAAAAGCCUAACAAAAGUGGGAGACAGUGCUUGCUGCCAAGCUUGAUGACCUAAAUUGAAUCCUGGAACCUACAGGACAGAAAGAGAGAGCUGACUCCUGAAAGAUGUCCUCAGAUCUUCACAUAUGCACAGUGGCACCUCUCCAACCAUGCACAUAGUAUAUUAAAAUUAUUUUUU